RNAcentral lists this ribosomal RNA (547 nucleotides) under uncultured Gigasporaceae. RNAcentral's name for it is "SSU rRNA". It matches the Rfam family "Eukaryotic small subunit ribosomal RNA", at positions 548 to 1098 of the family's 1831-position model. The record is from RNAcentral. Lineage: Eukaryota; Fungi; Glomeromycota; Glomeromycetes; Diversisporales; Gigasporaceae.
UUGGAGGGCAAGUCUGGUGCCAGCAGCCGCGGUAAUUCCAGCUCCAAUAGCGUAUAUUAAAGUUGUUGCAGUUAAAAAGCUCGUAGUUGAAUUUCGGGAUUCUACCGUUGGUCGGGCUAACAAGUCUGUACUGGUGUGUAGAAUUUCUACCUUCUGGGGAACUAUCAUGUUAUUAAUUUAGCGUGGUGGGAAACCAGGACCUUUACCUUGAAAAAAUUAGAGUGUUCAAAGCAGGCUUACGUCUGAAUACAUUAGCAUGGAAUAAUAGAACAGGACGGUGGUCCUGUUUUGUUGGUUUCUGAAUCACCGUAAUGAUUAAUAGGGAUAGUUGGGGGCAUUAGUAUUCAAUUGUCAGAGGUGAAAUUCUUGGAUUUAUUGAAGACUAACUUCUGCGAAAGCAUUUGCCAAGGAUGUUUUCAUUAAUCAAGAACGAAAGUUAGGGGAUCGAAGACGAUCAGAUACCGUCGUAGUCUUAACCAUAAACUAUGCCGACUAGGGAUCGGACGAUGUUAAAUUUUAUUGACUCGUUCGGCGCCUUACGGGAAAC